AAAACCUGCAUAAAACAUAGAUAUAUGACCUGCAGAAUAUACGCUUUUGGGUUUCUGUUGACAUGGCUAUCAUUAGCUAAUAUUUCCACAAGCUGACAUCCUUGAAAACUGACAACACGCUAUUCUCAGCGACUGUCUACUCACUCUUUUUGGGUACAAAACUUUUUCGAGGUAAAAGUUCAAAAGGUAUGUGCGAAGGUUUUGUUAGACUCAGUAUAGCAGUGUAACGAAUAAUACUGUGCUUAAGUUUACUUAGACUGGUAAACUGCAUUGUUGUUGUUCAGUGUGAUUGUGAAGAUGUCCUCAUCCUGCAACAUUCCAAUACAUAGAUGCAUCAUCAUCAUGUUCAUCAUCAACAUUCCAGGACUUUGUAUACCACCGUUGAAUAUUUAGCCUGCAGAGGUACACUAUGGCAAUACGGUUAUUAUUGAUCUUAUAUUCAUAUAUUUUUUUCUCAUUCAAUGAAUGACUGAUUCUGUUGGUUUGUAAAACUGCAAAUAUUUUAUCAGUUGGAUUGUUCAACGCUGCACCUGCCAACCUAGUGUAGAGAUCUCCCUGUCUACCUGGUGUAGAGAUCUCCCUGCCUACCUGGUGUAGAGAUCUCCCUGUCUACCAGGUGUAGAGAUCUCCCUGCCUACCUGGUGUAGAGAUCUCCCUGGGUACCUGGUGUAGAGAUCUCCCUGUCUACCAGGUGUAGAGAUCUCCCUGCCUACCUGGUGUAGAGAUCUCCCUGUCUACCAGGUGUAGAGAUCUCCCUGUCUACCUGGUGUAGAGGUCUCCCUCCCAACCUGGUGUAGAGAUCUCCCUGUCUACCAGGUGUAGAGAUCCCCCUGUCUACCAGGUGUAGAGAUCUCCCUGUCUACCUGGUGUAGAGGUCUCCCUCCCAACCUGGUGUAGAGAUCUCCCUGGGUACCUGGUGUAGAGAUCUCCCUGUCUACCAGGUGUAGAGAUCUCCCUGUCUACCAGGUGUAGAGAUCUCCCUGGGUACCUGGUGUAGAGAUCUCCCUGUGUACCUGGUGUAGAGAUCUCCCUGUUGUGUCAAUUGUCUUAUGUAUCUGUCCAUCAUGUAUGAAUCAUUGACUCUAUGAGCUUGUCAUUUAUCAGCUGUAUACCCGGGACUACAAAAGGGGCAAAGUAAUAAACAGCUAUGUUCAUUUGGCAAUGGUGAAUAACUCGAUAUUUUGUGUAUCCUUAUUGUCAGAAUACUGCUUGUGUCAAAAAUGUCAUGUAAGGUAGAUUUACAGUAUUUGCGGGAGUUUUGCUUGGAUGACAGACUGGUACUACUUACAUAGUACAUCAAGUCCCACUGCAGGAGCAGUGGCGAGGGUGCUGGGAGAACGUUGUGUGGCUCGUUGAUGUUGCUGUGUGACGUGUUGUAUGUUGUGUACAGACAGCAGAUGUUUGGGUAGAACCUACACUGAAAUACUGUUUAUGGGGAUGGUAAUGUUCUCCGGACAAUGACACAGACAAGUGUAUAUAUUUAGUGAAUCUUCUGAAGUGUGUAUCAGUGUAACUAACAAUAAACAACCAACAUACUUCUUUCCUAACAAUAACCAACAGGAAGGUAGAACUUCUCGCUUCAGACAGAUCCAGACUAACAAUGUUUCACUUGAACACAUGCAGUAAACACACACACACACACACACACACACACACACACACACAACAUACACUAUAAAUGGCUCUAUGACUGCUUAGCUUGACUUGCAAUAAUACUGAAAAUCUUUUGAAACGGUCAUGUUUUUGCAGUUCAUGUUUUCAUCUUGUAGUGUUCCCAUCUGCAAGUCAGCUGAAGCUUGCUCUGUGUUGCAUAGCAACCAGUUUACUCAACUUGGCAGAACAAAACAAAUUAUAUUAAUUAUUUUUCAAAACAUGUAGAGGAAACUGUUCAUUUUUCAUAUUCCACCAGUAACUUAGUACUGUUGCAAACAAAAAUGCAUGUGUCAUCCAUUUUUGUAUGCUGAGUGCGAUAUACUUGUUUGUCCGACAAGUCAUCAGAUUAUGUUAUAUAUUUAACACAGAUUCUCUUAAUGUACUCUGAAAGCACUGUUUGUAGGCAGCCUGAAAAUAGUCAUCACAAACUGUGUUUAAUCACUUGUGCGAAGGUUUUCAUACUUUCAGAUAAUACAGUUCAUGCUGACUACCUGAUACAUGACCAUGUGUCUGUGCAUUUGUCAUGCAAAACCUUUGUUUGCUUUGUAGUUUUAAGAUUCUCACAAACCCUUGUACAUGCCAUGCUUUGUAGGAAACAGUGAAACCUUGCUUCCUUGUCACCCCGGGAAACCGACGGUUUUAUGGCGUUAUUCUUCUGUGUAAGCUGAGUAGCAAUCUGUAAUGUGAGGUCAGCAAGUUAAAGUGUUAGGUGGGGAUUGGGUUUGCAUGGUCUCACUGUGAGAGAGUUUAAAUCUUCAUCACUGUUUUUGCUGCAUCCAAUCAAUUUUUCGUUUUAGGUUAUAAUCCCUUCAAAAGAUGAAUAAUUUUGUUUAUAUUUUAUGAUCAUACAGGUAAUAUUUUUGGUUUGUGAAUAGCAGAUAUAUAUUUGUUAAACAUGUAAUUAUAAAGAUGGCAACAAGAGUGAUAAGUGAUGUUUGAAUUACCACUCUUUACAGAUUCAUUUGUGCUGUUUGCCUUUAUGCAAUUCACUGGUAAUAAACAAUGGAUUUUUA
Long non-coding RNA from Haliotis rubra (blacklip abalone), 2666 nucleotides. RefSeq lists it as uncharacterized. The transcript is spliced from 5 exons. The record is from RefSeq and is a predicted model, not a curated record. NCBI's taxonomy places the organism in Eukaryota, Metazoa, Mollusca, Gastropoda, Lepetellida, Haliotidae.